Molecule: ribosomal RNA, 492 nt
Filed under: uncultured bacterium
Lineage: Bacteria
Description: partial 16S ribosomal RNA
Rfam family: Bacterial small subunit ribosomal RNA
Source: RNAcentral
AGUGAACGCUGGCGGUAGGCCUAACACAUGCAAGUCGAACGGCAGCACAGUAAGAGCUUGCUCUUACGGGUGGCGAGUGGCGGACGGGUGAGGAAUACAUCGGAAUCUACUUUUUCGUGGGGGAUAACGUAGGGAAACUUACGCUAAUACCGCAUACGACCUACGGGUGAAAGCAGGUGAUCUUCGGACCUUGCGCGAUUGAAUGAGCCGAUGUCGGAUUAGCUAGUUGGCGGGGUAAGGGCCCACCAAGGCGACGAUCCGUAGCUGGUCUGAGAGGAUGAUCAGCCACACUGGAACUGAGACACGGUCCAGACUCCUACGGGAGGCAGCAGUGGGGAAUAUUGGACAAUGGGCGCAAGCCUGAUCCAGCCAUACCGCGUGGGUGAAGAAGGCCUUCGGGUUGUAAAGCCCUUUUGUUGGGAAAGAAAAGCAGCAGGUUAAUACCCCGCUGUUCUGACGGUACCCAACGAAUAAGCACCGGCUAACUUCGUG